Molecule: non-coding RNA, 601 nt
Organism: Callithrix jacchus (white-tufted-ear marmoset)
Lineage: Eukaryota; Metazoa; Chordata; Mammalia; Primates; Cebidae
Source: RefSeq, a predicted model, not a curated record
UUCCACUGUGACACAGAAGCUCUGAGUUCCAAACCCAAGUCUCACAAUCACUGCACUGUCCCUCCCUGAAGCACAUAGAUUUCACACACUGCCAGGGGAAGGCGGACGGGUGGCAUCAGCAAUUCAAGAUGAUAUUUCCUACUCUCUUCAGUGCCUCUUUCAGUGAUAUGAAGUAAAAGCCAGGAAGAGAAACUGCAUAAGACAUCAAGGGAAAGGACAUAAAAUCCUGGAGAGCCUAGAGAGUGAAGGUGAUGCAAAGACAGAAGUGGAGAGAGAUUUGAAGAUGCCAUGUUGCUGGCUCUGAAGAUGAAAGAAGGGGACAUGAGCCAAAGAAUGUAAGGGUUAUGUAGCUGGAAAUGAAAAGAAAAAAGUCUCUCCCCUGGAGCCUUUAGAAGGAACUGGCCCUGCCAACAAUUUGAUUUUAGCCCCAUAAGUCUCAUUUUAAACUUCUGAUCUUCAGAAAUGUAAAAGGAUAAAUUUGUGUUGUUUUAUGCAACUAAAUUUGUAUAGUAGCAAUAAGAAACUCAUACAAUAUACAUACUUGAUGACUAAUUCUACUCCUAGAUAUGGGCCCAACAGAACUGCAUACAUAUGCAUACCA